RNAcentral lists this ribosomal RNA (253 nucleotides) under uncultured bacterium. RNAcentral describes it as "partial 16S ribosomal RNA". It matches the Rfam family "Bacterial small subunit ribosomal RNA", at positions 524 to 776 of the family's 1533-position model. The record is from RNAcentral.
UACGUAGGGUGCAAGCGUUAAUCGGAAUUACUGGGCGUAAAGCGUGCGCAGGCGGUGAUGCAAGUCAGAUGUGAAAUCCCCAGGCUUAACCUGGGAACUGCAUUUGUGACUGCAUUGCUGGAGUGCGGCAGAGGGGGAUGGAAUUCCGCGUGUAGCAGUGAAAUGCGUAGAUAUGCGGAGGAACACCGAUGGCGAAGGCAAUCCCCUGGGCCUGCACUGACGCUCAUGCACGAAAGCGUGGGGAGCAAACAGG